UACGUAGGGACCAAGCGUUGUUCGGAUUUACUGGGCGUAAAGGGCGCGUAGGCGGCGCGGUAAGUCACUUGUGAAAUCUCUGAGCUUAACUCAGAACGGCCAAGUGAUACUGCAGUGCUAGAGUGUGGAAGGGGCAAUCGGAAUUCUUGGUGUAGCGGUGAAAUGCGUAGAUAUGACAUAGAACACCAAUUGCGAAGGCAGCUUACUACACAGUUAUUGACACUGAGGCACGAAAGCGUGGGGAUCAAACAGG
This 253-nucleotide ribosomal RNA is filed under the name uncultured bacterium. Its description in RNAcentral is "partial 16S ribosomal RNA". It matches the Rfam family "Bacterial small subunit ribosomal RNA", at positions 524 to 776 of the family's 1533-position model. The record is from RNAcentral.